This 253-nucleotide ribosomal RNA is filed under the name uncultured bacterium. RNAcentral's name for it is "partial 16S ribosomal RNA". It matches the Rfam family "Bacterial small subunit ribosomal RNA", at positions 524 to 776 of the family's 1533-position model. The record is from RNAcentral.
UACGAAGGGGGCGAGCGUUGUUCGGAGUUACUGGGCGUAAAGGGCGCGUAGGCGGCGAUCCAAGUUAGGCGUGAAAGCCCCGGGCUUAACCUGGGAAUUGCGCUUAAGACUGGACUGCUUGAGUGCGGGAGAGGUGAGUGGAAUUCCCAGUGUAGAGGUGAAAUUCGUAGAUAUUGGGAAGAACACCAGUGGCGAAGGCGGCUCACUGGCCCGAUACUGACGCUGAGGUGCGAAAGCGUGGGGAGCAAACAGG